UCUGAGAGGACCCAUCCAUGAAGUGAACCUUCUGCUUCUGGAAAUCCACUGACACUGCCUGCAGGAGAGAGGGGGCACAGAGCAGACAGGUCCAUCCGUGGAUACACAGAUCAGUGUUACACCCUCCCCAUGGCAGGAACAGGAUCACCCACUGAGGACUGAGCUCAGCUGCACUGGUACCUCUUUCUCUGUCCAGAACUCUAUGCCCUGGGCCUGGAGGAAUUCAGGUUUCCUCAGGUAAACAUCCUCGGCUUUCAAGUUCAUUUCCUGGAAACACAACAAAAGCAUGAAAUGAAGCACUUCUUACAGGCAGCAAUUGUCCUGGAGUGUUCACUGGGGAGUCAGUUUGCAAAAGAGGUGAAUUUUGCAUUAGUGAAUCACAGCUCCCCACACCGCCCCAACACCUUGUCCCCACCCUCAGAAAAACCAUCAAACUUUAGUGGGAAGAACUCAAUAAAAGGAGAUAAAGCCAUCAGCUUAUGUUGACUCUGAUCAAAGACUUUCCAGGAGGAAGAAGAUGUUUCCCUGGAAAUAACACCCCUGUUCCUCUUGGAUGCCUCAGCACUCCUGCUUUGCUCACUCCAGUGCUCCUGGCCCCGAGUGUGGCCCAUGUCACACGUGGUGCCCGGGCACAGUCCUGCCCUCAUCACACACGAACCUUGCUCAGUUUGGACUUGUCAUAGGGAACAUGCUUCUCUUUGGUGGCCAUGAUGAUCCUGCCAGUGAAUCCCUCCUGGCGAAGAGUCUCUGCACACACCAGGGCAGCCACACCUACAAGAGAUGCUCAUCUCAGCCCUCUGACACAUCUCUGUGGAGGAGGAGGAGGAGCAGGUCAGUCCUCCCUGGAGAGGAGAGUGGCAGCUCCCAGUGUGUGUGGAGAGGGAAGAUCCCUUCACUGACCUCCCCCCAGCAGCAGCAUCGUGUUCUUGUUGAGGAGGCACCUCCUGCUUGCAUCCUUCACCCUCAGGCUGCUUUCAAGGUCCUGCAACAAAGUGCAAAAUGCCGAAGUCACACACAGCCUGAGGUGCUGCCUGUGCUCAGUGACAGCAGAAGCACGUUCCCACGUGGAGGAGCAGCAGCCCUCGCGGAGCGUUCUCUGACUCAGCAGAAAUCGCUGGAAAAACCUUUGCUCACAGAUGGAAAUCUGCAGCGAACAGGCAAAGGGGCAGCAUUCGUGUCUGGUGAUGGUGAGAGAUGGGACACAGGCCUGGCAGACACCUGGCACCACUUCUCCACGGUGAACAUUGCAAAAGGAAAGAAGGAACCUGAAACCUCACUAAUAACAGCAUAUAAACGUUCAGAAAGUUGAAAUAUUUGGGGCAUGGCAGCUGCUGGAAGCAGAGAACUGUAAGGAACUGCCCGUGCUGCUGUGCUCGGAGGGGAUUUGCCAGUCAGUGUGUUCUCAAUGGAAUUUUGCUAAUCCCAUGGCAUACCUGUGCAGCUGGAGUGAGGAGAGAGCACAUCCUUCGUGCCACCGGUUCAUG
Long non-coding RNA from Corvus hawaiiensis (hawaiian crow), 1484 nucleotides. RefSeq lists it as uncharacterized. The record is from RefSeq and is a predicted model, not a curated record. Lineage: Eukaryota; Metazoa; Chordata; Aves; Passeriformes; Corvidae. The transcript has 4 exons.